ACGAACGCUGGCGGCAGGCCUAACACAUGCAAGUCGAACGCCCUAGCAAUAGGGAGUGGCAGACGGGUGAGUAACACGUGGGAACCUUCCCUAUAGUACGGAAUAGCCCAGGGAAACUUGGAGUAAUACCGUAUACGCCCGAAAGGGGAAAGAUUUAUCGCUAUAGGAUGGGCCCGCGUCGGAUUAGCUAGUUGGUGAGGUAAUGGCUCACCAAGGCAACGAUCCGUAGCUGGUUUGAGAGAAUGACCAGCCACACUGGGACUGAGACACGGCCCAGACUCCUACGGGAGGCAGCAGUGGGGAAUCUUGGACAAUGGGCGCAAGCCUGAUCCAGCCAUGCCGCGUGAGUGAUGAAGGCCUUAGGGUUGUAAAGCUCUUUUGUCGGGGACGAUAAUGACGGUACCCGAAGAAUAAGCUCCGGCUAACUUCGU
Molecule: ribosomal RNA, 431 nt
Filed under: uncultured bacterium
Lineage: Bacteria
Description: bacterial SSU rRNA
Rfam family: Bacterial small subunit ribosomal RNA
Source: RNAcentral